RNAcentral lists this unclassified non-coding RNA (336 nucleotides) under soil metagenome. RNAcentral's name for it is "partial contains 5.8S ribosomal RNA, internal transcribed spacer 2, and large subunit ribosomal RNA". The stretch from base 1 to 120 matches the Rfam family "5.8S ribosomal RNA", at positions 35 to 154 of the family's 154-position model. The record is from RNAcentral.
GAUGAAGAACGCAGCGAAAUGCGAUAAGUAAUGUGAAUUGCAGAAUUCAGUGAAUCAUCGAAUCUUUGAACGCACAUUGCGCCCGCCAGUAUUCUGGCGGGCAUGCCUGUUCGAGCGUCAUUUCAACCAUCAAGCCCCAGGCUUGUGUUGGGGACCUGCGGCUGCCGCAGGCCCUGAAAACCAGUGGCGGGCUCGCUGUCACACCGGGCGUAGUAGAUUUUAUCUCGCUCAGGGCGUGCUGCGGGUUCCGGCCGUUAAAAAGCCUUUUUUACCCAAGGUUGACCUCAAAUCAGGUAGGACUACCCGCUGAACUUAAGCAUAUCAAUAAGCGGAGGA